CUCGUGUCGUGAGAUGUUCGGUUAAGUCCGGCAACGAGCGCAACCCACACCCCUAGUUGCCAGCAUUUGGUUGGGCACUCUAGGGGAACUGCCCGUGAUAAGCGGGAGGAAGGUGUGGAUGACGUCAAGUCCUCAUGGCCCUUACGGGUUGGGCUACACACGUGCUACAAUGGUGCCUACAGUGGGUUAAUCCCCAAAAGGCAUCUCAGUUCGGAUUGGGGUCUGCAACUCGACCCCAUGAAGUCGGAAUCGCUAGUAAUCGCGUAACAGCAUGACGCGGUGAAUACGUUCCCGGGCCUU
This 300-nucleotide ribosomal RNA is filed under the name uncultured bacterium. RNAcentral describes it as "bacterial SSU rRNA". It matches the Rfam family "Bacterial small subunit ribosomal RNA", at positions 1059 to 1382 of the family's 1533-position model. The record is from RNAcentral.